CUCAUCUUCAGUUACAUUUCUAACGUCGAGUAAUAAAGUCUGCCUUUUCUCUUGAGUCACGGAUACGGAAUUCGCAAAAAAAAAAAAAUUACAGAAAAAAGAAAACUGAAUAGAGUGUAACAAUUUUUUUUGGUAUUCAGUUAAGAAAAUUUGUGAAUUUUGUCUGUCUGCGCCCACAUAAAAGUUGAGGAAUUUUUUUACCCAACAACAAAUUCGACUAUCCAAAAGAAUUUCAAGCGAAAAGUGGAUAGAAACCAAGGAAGGAAGGAACUACAACUACAACAACAACAAAAGCUAAAACAACGACAAUAAAAGCCAAAGUAAACUAAUUCACUAAGGGUGUGCGUGUUUCUAUACGCCGUAAAAAAAUAUUACGAAGAAGAGGAAGAGCAAGACUCCUUCGUGUCCUAUUUGUGUGCACGUUUGUCUGUAUGAGUGCUUGAAUUGCCGCAGCAGUGCGCAUUUGUCGUCUUCUUCAUCGUUGUUGGGAGUUGUGAUAAGAAAUUUUCAGUCGUCCGUAUACACAUUCCCCCCCACGGAAAACACCACCGCCGCCUUCAGCCGCCAACAACAUCAGCAACCCCCUCGUGUGCAAGACUCCAAAGGGGAGAUUACUAAGACUAUCAGCAGCAACAGCAAAGCGGCGCAGAGAAAAGAGAAGAUUUGUUUUAUAUGUGUCACUGUGUUCCAUUGAAAAUUGUGUCGUUCUCCUCGUAGUGGGACAAAAACGUAACUUCACAAAAUACACAGCCAGCCAAGCGUUGAUACUCCAAUUAAGGGACACCCAAGAAGUGUCCUUUCUGUCCACUUGAAAACCUCAGGCGUCGUAGCUGAUCCAACGAAUUUGCAGCGCUAAAACACAGUGAAAGACUGCUGUGACAGCCUUCCACUUUAGUCGGUCAAUAUAAGUGCAAUAGCCACUACUGCUGGGUGCGGGCGAAUCUGUGCCCCACCUCCGGUAAGCCAACUCAUGUCCACCUUCAUGUCGUUCAUGUUGUCAAUGUCAUUUGUUUUCGUUUCUUGCGUUCCUUGCGUUCGUUCUGUUCGAUCCUUUGGUUUUGUGCCACGUCUGUGUUUACCGAGAGUUCAAUCAAAACUCGAAUAAUUAAUUUGCGCAUACAUUUUCUCUUUAGUUCGUUAAUAAUUUGUUUUUUUUUUUUCUUUUUUAUUUAUUUACUACCCCAUAUUAAAUAUUGUUAUAAUGGUGUAUAUAAAUAUGUACAUACCCGUACAUAUAGUAUAUAUUGUAUUUGUUUGUUGUCUAUAUUUAUGUUUACAUACUGUAUCGUACUUGUUUACAAAUAUGUACAAUUACAUUUACAUAUGAUUUUCAUUAAAUUUCAUUUUAUUCUCUGCACAAACAAAUUAAAUCACUUUUUUUUAAAGAAGGAAAAAUAGCAAAGGGAAAACAACAUAUGUAACAUUAUGCAACAAAAUUAAAAAAAAAAUGUUUGUUAAGCGGGCGUUUAUUUAUUAAAAAAAGACAUGAGGCUUUUGCCAUAAUUUAAUUUUUAAAAUUGUUUUUCUCAACAAUUAUUUUUGGUAUCU
Molecule: long non-coding RNA, 1548 nt
Organism: Stomoxys calcitrans (stable fly)
Lineage: Eukaryota; Metazoa; Arthropoda; Insecta; Diptera; Muscidae
Exons: 3
Source: RefSeq, a predicted model, not a curated record